UGAUGGGUGAAGCCUGAUGAUGGGCAU
RNAcentral lists this non-coding RNA (27 nucleotides) under Homo sapiens (human). Lineage: Eukaryota; Metazoa; Chordata; Mammalia; Primates; Hominidae. The record is from RNAcentral.